GCGGCCGUGGCGAAAUUGGUAGACGCAAGGGACUUAAAAUCCCUCGGUAGAAAUACCGUGUCGGUUCGAUUCCGACCGGCCGCACCA
RNAcentral lists this transfer RNA (87 nucleotides) under Gammaproteobacteria bacterium. RNAcentral describes it as "tRNA-Leu". It matches the Rfam family "tRNA". Rfam says of the family: Transfer RNA (tRNA) molecules are approximately 80 nucleotides in length. Their secondary structure includes four short double-helical elements and three loops (D, anti-codon, and T loops). Lineage: Bacteria; Pseudomonadati; Pseudomonadota; Gammaproteobacteria. The record is from RNAcentral.